RNAcentral lists this ribosomal RNA (908 nucleotides) under human gut metagenome. RNAcentral's name for it is "bacterial LSU rRNA". It matches the Rfam family "Bacterial large subunit ribosomal RNA", at positions 1681 to 2596 of the family's 2925-position model. The record is from RNAcentral.
CUCAGGUGAGCGAGAGAACUCUCGUUAAGGAACUCGGCAAAAUGACCCCGUAACUUCGGGAGAAGGGGUGCUGAUGGUAAAAGAUCAGCCGCAGUGAAUAGGCCCAAACAACUGUUUAUCAAAAACACAGGUAUCUGCAAAAUCGUAAGAUGACGUAUAGGUGCUGACACCUGCCCGGUGCUGGAAGGUUAAGAGGAGAGCUUAGCGCAAGCGAAGGUUUGAAUUGAAGCCCCAGUAAACGGCGGCCGUAACUAUAACGGUCCUAAGGUAGCGAAAUUCCUUGUCGGGUAAGUUCCGACCUGCACGAAAGGUGUAAUGAUUUGGGCACUGUCUCAACGAGAGACUCGGUGAAAUUAUAAUACCCGUGAAGAUGCGGGUUACCCGCGACAGGACGGAAAGACCCCAUGGAGCUUUACUGUAGCUUGAUAUUGAGUAUUUGUUAAACAUGUACAGGAUAGGUAGGAGCCAGAGAAAGUAGGACGCUAGUCUUACUGGAGGCAAUGUUGGGAUACUACCCUUGUUUGAUGGAUCCUCUAACUCGCAGAGCUGAGCGUUCUGGAGGACAGUGUCAGGUGGGCAGUUUGACUGGGGCGGUCGCCUCCUAAAAUGUAACGGAGGCGCCCAAAGGUUCCCUCAGAAUGGUUGGAAAUCAUUCGCAGAGUGUAAAGGUAUAAGGGAGCUUGACUGCGAGAGCUACAACUCGAGCAGGGACGAAAGUCGGGCUUAGUGAUCCGGUGGUUCCGCAUGGAAGGGCCAUCGCUCAACGGAUAAAAGCUACCCUGGGGAUAACAGGCUUAUCUCCCCCAAGAGUUCACAUCGACGGGGAGGUUUGGCACCUCGAUGUCGGCUCGUCGCAUCCUGGGGCUGUAGUCGGUCCCAAGGGUUGGGCUGUUCGCCCAUUAAAGCGG